This 253-nucleotide ribosomal RNA is filed under the name uncultured bacterium. RNAcentral's name for it is "partial 16S ribosomal RNA". It matches the Rfam family "Bacterial small subunit ribosomal RNA", at positions 524 to 776 of the family's 1533-position model. The record is from RNAcentral.
UACGGGGGAUGCAAGCGUUAUCCGGAAUUAUUGGGCGUAAAGCGUCCGUAGGUGGUUUUAUAAGUCUGUUGUUAAAGCGCGAGGCUUAACCUCGUAUAGGCAGUGGAAACUAUAAAUCUAGAGUGAGGGAGGGGAAGAGGGAAUUUCCAGUGUAGCGGUGAAAUGCGUAGAUAUUGGAAAGAACACCGGUGGCGAAGGCGCUCUACUGGGCCUGAACUGACGCUGAGGGACGAAAGCUAGGGGAGCAAAAAGG